GCAGUCGUGGCCGAGUGGUUAAGGCGAUGGACUAGAACUCAAUUGGGGUCUCCCCGCACAGGUCCGAAUCCUGUCGACUGCG
RNAcentral lists this transfer RNA (82 nucleotides) under Ixodes scapularis (black-legged tick). It matches the Rfam family "tRNA". From Rfam's summary of the family: Transfer RNA (tRNA) molecules are approximately 80 nucleotides in length. Their secondary structure includes four short double-helical elements and three loops (D, anti-codon, and T loops). The record is from Rfam by way of RNAcentral. Lineage: Eukaryota; Metazoa; Arthropoda; Arachnida; Ixodida; Ixodidae.